UCCUACGGGGGGCAGCAGUCGGGAAUAUUGCGCAAUGGAGGAAACUCUGACGCAGUGACGCCGCGUAUGGGAAGAAGGUUUUCGGAUUGUAAACCAUUGUCGUUAGGGAAGAAGAAGUGACAGUACCUAAGGAGGAAGCUCCGGCUAACUAUGUGCCAGCAGCCGCGGUAAUACAUAGGGAGCGAGCGUUAUCCGGAUUUAUUGGGUUUAAAGGGUGCGUAGGCGGGCUGUUAAGUCAGCGGUCAAAUGUCGGGGCUCAACCCCGGCCUGCCGUUGAAACUGGCGGCCUCGCGUGGGCGAGAAGG
RNAcentral lists this ribosomal RNA (305 nucleotides) under uncultured bacterium. RNAcentral describes it as "bacterial SSU rRNA". It matches the Rfam family "Bacterial small subunit ribosomal RNA", at positions 337 to 658 of the family's 1533-position model. The record is from RNAcentral.